RNAcentral lists this ribosomal RNA (580 nucleotides) under uncultured Preussia. RNAcentral describes it as "eukaryotic LSU rRNA". The stretch from base 212 to 365 matches the Rfam family "5.8S ribosomal RNA". Lineage: Eukaryota; Fungi; Ascomycota; Dothideomycetes; Pleosporales; Sporormiaceae. The record is from RNAcentral.
UCUUGGUCAUUUAGAGGAAGUAAAAGUCGUAACAAGGUUUCCGUAGGUGAACCUGCGGAAGGAUCAUUAUCGUGGGGCUUCGGCCCUCUUGAGAUAGAACCCUUGCCUUUUUGAGUACCUUUCGUUUCCUCGGCGGGCUCGCCCGCCAAUGGGGACCACAAUAAACCCUUUGUAAUACCUGUAAUCGUCUGACAAAACAAACAAAAAUUAAAACUUUCAACAACGGAUCUCUUGGUUCUGGCAUCGAUGAAGAACGCAGCGAAAUGCGAUAAGUAGUGUGAAUUGCAGAAUUCAGUGAAUCAUCGAAUCUUUGAACGCACAUUGCGCCCUAUGGUAUUCCGUAGGGCAUGCCUGUUCGAGCGUCAUUCAAACCUUCAAGCUCUGCUUGGUGUUGGGCGUCUGUCCUGCCUCACGGCGCGGACUCGCCUCAAAUCUAUUGGCGGCCGGCACGUUGGCUUCGAGCGCAGCAGAAACGCGAACUCGGGCCCGACGGAUCGGCUCCCAGAAGCUACCCCCAUGAAUUUGACCUCGGAUCAGGUAGGGAUACCCGCUGAACUUAAGCAUAUCAAUAAGCGGAGGA